Molecule: ribosomal RNA, 889 nt
Filed under: Arthonia sp. 'granithophila'
Lineage: Eukaryota; Fungi; Ascomycota; Arthoniomycetes; Arthoniales; Arthoniaceae
Description: mitochondrial SSU rRNA
Rfam family: Bacterial small subunit ribosomal RNA
Source: RNAcentral
UGCAGUUUUUUUUGUUGUAACUAUGUUGCAACAGGUUAUCUUUAAUAGAACCAAAAGUUCUAUGGAUAGCAAUAGAACUAGAUACUUAUUUUAGAUUCUAUUUUAAUUAGCGAUUUAUUCGCAUUAUGUUCCACGUAGGAUGUAGAUGAUGACUAUUUUUUAUGUGAAAGUCUUGACCAAAACACGUGCCAGCAGUCGCGGGAACACGGCACAGACGAGUGUUAUUCAUCACUAAUAGGUUUAAAGGGUACCUAGACAGUAAAUUUAGCCCCCACUAAGUUGGAACGGUACAUUUUUGCUAGAGUUUUAUGUGAGAGGAAUUUAGUACUAUCAGAGUAGAGAUGAAAUGUUUUGAUACUGUAGGGCACUGAUAACGGCGAAGGCAGACCUUUAUGUAAAAACUGACGUUGAGGGACGAAGGCUUGGGUAACAAACAGGAUUAGGUACCCUAAUAGUCCAGGCAGAGACUGAUGAGUGCCAUAGAUUAGAUUAUAUUUGGUCUAUAAAUGAAAGUGUAAGCAUUCCACCUUAAGAGUAAUGCGGCAACGCCGGAACUGAAAUCAUUAGACCGUUUCUGAAACCAGUAGUGAAGUAUGUUGUUUAAUUCGAUGACCCACGAAAAAUCUUACCACAAUUUGAAUGUUAUAGCAACUAAAGGAAUGUCUUAAUGAUUAUAUCAUUUUGAUGGAAGUGCUAUUAAUACAGGUGUUGCAUGGCUGUCUUCAGUUGGUGUCGUGAGGCGCGGGCAAUAGCCUGUUUAAAACAACGUGAACCCAGAUUUUAUUUUAAUUGGCUUCGCUAAUUACAUAGAGUACAGUAUAUUUAUUCCUAAACACUAACUACAGUGAAGGAAUAAACAUUAGGGACCAAGAGAAGUCCUCAUGGCCCG